This 253-nucleotide ribosomal RNA is filed under the name uncultured bacterium. Its description in RNAcentral is "partial 16S ribosomal RNA". It matches the Rfam family "Bacterial small subunit ribosomal RNA", at positions 524 to 776 of the family's 1533-position model. The record is from RNAcentral.
UACGGGGGGGGUAAGCGUUGUUCGGAAUUACUGGGCGUAAAGGGCUCGUAGGCGGCCAACUAAGUCAUACGUGAAAUCCCUCAGCUUAACUGGGGAACUGCGUGUGAUACUGGAUGGCUUGGAUUUGGGAGAGGGAUGCGGAAUUCCAGGUGUAGCGGUGAAAUGCGUAGAUAUCGGGAGGAACAUCAGUGGCGAAGGCGGCUACCUGGCCCAAUACUGACACUCAGGUGCGACAGCGUGGGGAGCAAACAGG